Molecule: long non-coding RNA, 957 nt
Organism: Salvia miltiorrhiza (redroot sage)
Lineage: Eukaryota; Viridiplantae; Streptophyta; Magnoliopsida; Lamiales; Lamiaceae
Exons: 3
Source: RefSeq, a predicted model, not a curated record
UCUCCUCCCCAAAUUCAAUUUCCCUAACCCCCGUCUCCACAGUCCACACUACUCUCCCCUCCCCCGUCCGAAACCCAAUUCCUCUUUUCCCCCUCCCGUCUCUCACACGGUCACGACUCACACCAGACUUUCCCCUCCCUCCGUCGGCCAUUCGCCGCGAUUCGCCUCACUCCGGCCACCGCUCCUCCCUGUCUCUAACGCCCCUUUUCUCCUUCCCUGUCUCUCACACGGUGCCAGAGCCGCUGAUGCCGCCGCGCCUCCGCCGACCAUUCGCCUCACUCCGAUCGCCGCUCCUCCCUGUCUCUCAUGCCCCUUUUCUCCCUCUCUUCUGCCGCGAUUCGCGUCACCGCCGCUGCCGAAAUCGCCAGCCAUGGUUAUCUCUAUGAUAUAGCCCCUCCCUCAAUCCACUUUAUAAAUCAUGGAUGUCAAUGAAGAGGAGGUGUUGAUUUCUCUUAGAGGAAUGGGGGGAUACCGAUGAAGUGCUCCUCCACGAAAACGAAGUAGCUGAAAACAGCUUCUUCUUCUUCUUCUUUUGCUGUGUUUCUUUUGCAUUGAUUUUUUUUUUUUUUUGUGCUUUUGAGUUAUGAUUUUCUUCGAAUUGAUUCCAAUGUCUAAGGUUUUUACUUUGGCUGAGGUCUCCGAGCACAGCACCAACAAGGAUUGUUGGCUCUAGAUCGUGGGGAAGGCUGAAGCAGAGGUUGGUACAUAUGAAAAUCAAUGAUACAUUUUUGUUGCUAUGCCUGGUUGGAGUGCAAGGCUCAUACAAUUUUUACAGUUGCAGCAUAAUUAAAUUUGUCAUAUGUAUGUGUAUGAAAUAAAAAGAAAUGAAUAUUCGGUAUGAUGUUAGGAAACUUCUAUGUGAAAGACAAGCAACAAGAGCUAGGUUGAUUUUUCCAAAUUUUAUAGAAUUGACUCCAACUAAGAUGUCAUUGUUGCUGCAUGUGCAUUUUUUGCUCA